This 253-nucleotide ribosomal RNA is filed under the name uncultured bacterium. RNAcentral's name for it is "partial 16S ribosomal RNA". It matches the Rfam family "Bacterial small subunit ribosomal RNA", at positions 524 to 776 of the family's 1533-position model. The record is from RNAcentral.
UACGAAGGGGGCUAGCGUUGCUCGGAAUCACUGGGCGUAAAGCGCACGUAGGCGGACUCUUAAGUCGGUGGUGAAAUCCUGGAGCUCAACUCCAGAACUGCCUUCGAUACUGAGAGUCUCGAGUCCGAGAGAGGUGAGUGGAACUGCGAGUGUAGAGGUGAAAUUCGUAGAUAUUCGCAAGAACACCAGUGGCGAAGGCGACUCUUUGGCCUGUAACUGACGCUGAGGCGCGAAAGCGUGGGGAGCAAACAGG